Molecule: ribosomal RNA, 2560 nt
Filed under: Escherichia coli
Lineage: Bacteria; Pseudomonadati; Pseudomonadota; Gammaproteobacteria; Enterobacterales; Enterobacteriaceae
Description: partial 23S ribosomal RNA
Rfam family: Bacterial large subunit ribosomal RNA
Source: RNAcentral
UGUGAGCUCGAUGAGUAGGGCGGGACACGUGGUAUCCUGUCUGAAUAUGGGGGGACCAUCCUCCAAGGCUAAAUACUCCUGACUGACCGAUAGUGAACCAGUACCGUGAGGGAAAGGCGAAAAGAACCCCGGCGAGGGGAGUGAAAAAGAACCUGAAACCGUGUACGUACAAGCAGUGGGAGCACGCUUAGGCGUGUGACUGCGUACCUUUUGUAUAAUGGGUCAGCGACUUAUAUUCUGUAGCAAGGUUAACCGAAUAGGGGAGCCGAAGGGAAACCGAGUCUUAACUGGGCGUUAAGUUGCAGGGUAUAGACCCGAAACCCGGUGAUCUAGCCAUGGGCAGGUUGAAGGUUGGGUAACACUAACUGGAGGACCGAACCGACUAAUGUUGAAAAAUUAGCGGAUGACUUGUGGCUGGGGGUGAAAGGCCAAUCAAACCGGGAGAUAGCUGGUUCUCCCCGAAAGCUAUUUAGGUAGCGCCUCGUGAAUUCAUCUCCGGGGGUAGAGCACUGUUUCGGCAAGGGGGUCAUCCCGACUUACCAACCCGAUGCAAACUGCGAAUACCGGAGAAUGUUAUCACGGGAGACACACGGCGGGUGCUAACGUCCGUCGUGAAGAGGGAAACAACCCAGACCGCCAGCUAAGGUCCCAAAGUCAUGGUUAAGUGGGAAACGAUGUGGGAAGGCCCAGACAGCCAGGAUGUUGGCUUAGAAGCAGCCAUCAUUUAAAGAAAGCGUAAUAGCUCACUGGUCGAGUCGGCCUGCGCGGAAGAUGUAACGGGGCUAAACCAUGCACCGAAGCUGCGGCAGCGACACUAUGUGUUGUUGGGUAGGGGAGCGUUCUGUAAGCCUGUGAAGGUGUGCUGUGAGGCAUGCUGGAGGUAUCAGAAGUGCGAAUGCUGACAUAAGUAACGAUAAAGCGGGUGAAAAGCCCGCUCGCCGGAAGACCAAGGGUUCCUGUCCAACGUUAAUCGGGGCAGGGUGAGUCGACCCCUAAGGCGAGGCCGAAAGGCGUAGUCGAUGGGAAACAGGUUAAUAUUCCUGUACUUGGUGUUACUGCGAAGGGGGGACGGAGAAGGCUAUGUUGGCCGGGCGACGGUUGUCCCGGUUUAAGCGUGUAGGCUGGUUUUCCAGGCAAAUCCGGAAAAUCAAGGCUGAGGCGUGAUGACGAGGCACUACGGUGCUGAAGCAACAAAUGCCCUGCUUCCAGGAAAAGCCUCUAAGCAUCAGGUAACAUCAAAUCGUACCCCAAACCGACACAGGUGGUCAGGUAGAGAAUACCAAGGCGCUUGAGAGAACUCGGGUGAAGGAACUAGGCAAAAUGGUGCCGUAACUUCGGGAGAAGGCACGCUGAUAUGUAGGUGAAGUCCCUCGCGGAUGGAGCUGAAAUCAGUCGAAGAUACCAGCUGGCUGCAACUGUUUAUUAAAAACACAGCACUGUGCAAACACGAAAGUGGACGUAUACGGUGUGACGCCUGCCCGGUGCCGGAAGGUUAAUUGAUGGGGUUAGCCGCAAGGCGAAGCUCUUGAUCGAAGCCCCGGUAAACGGCGGCCGUAACUAUAACGGUCCUAAGGUAGCGAAAUUCCUUGUCGGGUAAGUUCCGACCUGCACGAAUGGCGUAAUGAUGGCCAGGCUGUCUCCACCCGAGACUCAGUGAAAUUGAACUCGCUGUGAAGAUGCAGUGUACCCGCGGCAAGACGGAAAGACCCCGUGAACCUUUACUAUAGCUUGACACUGAACAUUGAGCCUUGAUGUGUAGGAUAGGUGGGAGGCUUUGAAGUGUGGACGCCAGUCUGCAUGGAGCCGACCUUGAAAUACCACCCUUUAAUGUUUGAUGUUCUAACGUUGACCCGUAAUCCGGGUUGCGGACAGUGUCUGGUGGGUAGUUUGACUGGGGCGGUCUCCUCCUAAAGAGUAACGGAGGAGCACGAAGGUUGGCUAAUCCUGGUCGGACAUCAGGAGGUUAGUGCAAUGGCAUAAGCCAGCUUGACUGCGAGCGUGACGGCGCGAGCAGGUGCGAAAGCAGGUCAUAGUGAUCCGGUGGUUCUGAAUGGAAGGGCCAUCGCUCAACGGAUAAAAGGUACUCCGGGGAUAACAGGCUGAUACCGCCCAAGAGUUCAUAUCGACGGCGGUGUUUGGCACCUCGAUGUCGGCUCAUCACAUCCUGGGGCUGAAGUAGGUCCCAAGGGUAUGGCUGUUCGCCAUUUAAAGUGGUACGCGAGCUGGGUUUAGAACGUCGUGAGACAGUUCGGUCCCUAUCUGCCGUGGGCGCUGGAGAACUGAGGGGGGCUGCUCCUAGUACGAGAGGACCGGAGUGGACGCAUCACUGGUGUUCGGGUUGUCAUGCCAAUGGCACUGCCCGGUAGCUAAAUGCGGAAGAGAUAAGUGCUGAAAGCAUCUAAGCACGAAACUUGCCCCGAGAUGAGUUCUCCCUGACUCCUUGAGAGUCCUGAAGGAACGUUGAAGACGACGACGUUGAUAGGCCGGGUGUGUAAGCGCAGCGAUGCGUUGAGCUAACCGGUACUAAUGAACCGUGAGGCUUAACCUUACAACGCCGAAG